UACCACCUAAUGGUAAAAUCCGCAAUCACUUAGUUGUCAACCCGAUAUAUGUAAGUCUAUGUAUAUGUAACAUGAUUAAAGUGCCAAUAAAAUUUCAGAAUGUUUCAUAUAUAAAACGCGUAAUAUAAUUCGCAAAAUGUCUACAAGUGUCUGAACAGUCUGGCGAGCUACUGUAGAGAGACAGAAGAUCCUCUUCUGGGUAACUAACGACCGUGUCGGAGGCGGAGGGAUGAAACCAGAGGAAGAAAAAUGAAGAGAUAGAGAGGAGGGUUUUAGGGAGAAAUAAUGAGUCAGAGCAUUGUUAUUAUUACGUACGUGUUGUUGGUCCGGGUUCAACAUGUCUGCCAAGCAUUGUUUCCUUUUUCGAGCUGGCUGCAUGGCUCAAGGACAGCGCCAGACAAUGGAUCGAGCUGUUCGAUUCGAGCAGUUCUCUUUUCCAUUUACCGCGUGCAUUCUAUUCCCUCCAACUUCCCAGUCUAAUUUAUUUCAUUUCAAUGUUUUAAUAAUAAUUUUAAUGAUCUCAAUGUGGCCAAAGAUCGAGUAUGUGACAAUUUGUCGAACAAAGAGUGGAAUUUGCUUGAACGAAGAACGAAGAAUUAUCUCUUUAGAGAAUUAUUUCUCUAAAAUUUCAUUUGAAGAUUCUCCGCCUUCAACUUCAACUCUAACAGCGAUAUAUAUCGUUACCGAGUAUUUUAUGAGCAAAUUUCUAAUCGUCGGAACAUAUUUUACAUAAAUGAGCAUUUCUACUGCUAACGUGACGUAAAAGAGGCAAAAAGUAUGUAAAAAUCGAAACAACGAAUAUGCAUGCACCGAAUCGAGCGAGUCAUCACGCUCCAGCUGAAAAGUAUUCAUUUUUCUCACGUAAAUAUUUCUAGAAUGAUCGAAUAAUGACCGAGAGGCGCGUGUACGUACGACAUUUACAGACAAAAGAGCCCACGUACUGCCAAUAAUAUGCAAUUUCUUGCCUUCUAAUUGAUAUGACUUAUUGCGCAACUGACACGUUUCGAGCUGAUCGGAUCGGACAAAUUUAAGAAGCUUCGUUCCGUCACCGUGAAAUACAUUCUCUCUGUUACACGUUAUUUAUUUAGACAAUAACCAGCGAUAUCGUUUCCAUCGUGUAAUAAGUAUUCUAUACGAUUCUCGAAUAUUCCAACGCGUCUUCGACUAUCUUUCAUCGAUUCGAACGAUGGCGCUUGUUACGAUCUAUUGAGAAAUGUAUAAUUUCGUGUGCUAAACUAGAUUAGCCGUGUAGUAGUAACACGCGUAUGUGAAUAUCAGUGUAUGGAAGUAUGUGUGUGCACAACGUCUCGAAAAACAAAUGAUUCUAACUGUUCCGUUGGCACUGUGAUACGGAAGAUGGUGAGACAAAAAGAAUGCUGAGACGCGUGCAAAUUUAUAUCGACAAAGAUCUUGGAAAUCGUUUAUUGAAUAAAUCUAAAACUAUUUUAAUAUGAAUUCUAAGUGUAACCUUGGUAUUCCUUUACUUUUAUUUCGGCGAUUAAGAUCCACAAUUCUUAACACGAUCAUGAAUCUGAACGGUGGACAAUAUAUAACAAAUUUCCAAAUGCCGCCAUACUGAAACGAUGCGUCCAUCGUGUCUUGUUCCGCUUUAGCGAUUGUCUUAUGGAAAUAAUCGUGGAGCGUUGCACAGUUGAGGAGCGAGUGAAAAUUAUUCAAACGUUUGAUCAAGAAGCUGCUCCUUCAUCCUGAUACAUUGGCCAAGGGAUUAUUUGAAGAAACAAACAGAUAUACGUAGACUUAAGAGAUUCAAAGCAUUGGGUGCAAAAGACAAAUUUUAAGUGAUUCUUAGAUAAGAGAAGAUAGCUCAGGGAAGACAGUUAUUAAUUACAAGGAAAUCAUACGUCCAGUCGUUAAAGGAUACGAUUCUCUUGUUUUGGACAAAUGCUGGAUAUUUCAAUUACAUUGACUUCUUACCAAAGUACGUAUUAAGUUGCGAAUACGUAUUCAAAAAUUCAACUCUCCAAACAUACGUAACUCCAAAAAUCCAGCCAUUCCGAAAGAUAUCGCAAAAUUUCAACUACCGAGUAACGUACCAAAGUACUAAAAGUUCUACUAAAAUCUUCAUCUACGUAGUACGAAAACGUCUUCAAAGUAGGAUCAUCAAGCGCGUUAGUUGAUCAGCGGAAGCGUGACAAACGCACAAUCGCAACACAGCAAUACGUAGCAGCACAGCGAUGCGCGGACACGUGCAACAUGUUCAAAGCAUAAGUGUAAACGGAUCGCCUAACCGUGAUUAGAUAUGCGGCCAAGUACACGUGUAUAUAAGCAAAUGAGCUGUACGAUCCACAGUAUGAAAUCGUGGUAAAGCAGAGGCAGUGCGCGUGCCUUAUCUAGCGACCUCAACUUCCACACCUUUUCACCAUUUUCUACCCCUUUGCUAAUUACGCGACCCAACGAAAGUUCAAAGAACCGUCCGCCGUCGUCUUUUUUACCAUGUACCUUUUUCUCCUUUCUUUUUUUCCCCCCCUUGCGUAUUCUUCUCUCUUUGAUAAUCGGGGUUUCUUUUUUACGGAAACACCCUCGCGAGACGUUUCGAAAAGACACGCGGAAUAUGACGACGAUAAAAUCGCAUUGAUGGUAUUCGACGAUAAAAGUUAGUUGCGCAACGCUUCUCACUCCCCUCUCACGGAAAUAUCCUCUGUCGGAAAUAGAUUCAAGUACAUGGACAUCGAUGGUUGGCUUGGAAUUAUGCAUCGACUCAGUUCGUCAAGGCUGCUGGAUCACGACCGCGGUUCCGCGCGUGGGGCGUUUGAACUAUUCGCGCUUCCUUCGCGCAUUUUCCAUGAAAAUCACUUCUAUUACGUUUCCUACAGUGCAUAGGGUUCAUGGCGUGAUAGAUAAAAGCUUGACGUGAUUUUCUUAAUACCGUUCAAAUGACUCUUCAUCGUAUCCUAUUCCAUCUUUCACGAAUUUUAAUUUAUUCUAGCUGUUAGUCGUAUUUCUGUACGAUAUAUUGGGUUGUCCGAAAAGUUUCUUUCGUUUCAUAAGGUGAUAAUAGAU
This is a long non-coding RNA of Bombus terrestris (buff-tailed bumblebee), 3021 nucleotides long. RefSeq lists it as uncharacterized. The record is from RefSeq and is a predicted model, not a curated record. The transcript has 4 exons. Lineage: Eukaryota; Metazoa; Arthropoda; Insecta; Hymenoptera; Apidae.